Molecule: long non-coding RNA, 652 nt
Filed under: Salvia miltiorrhiza (redroot sage)
Lineage: Eukaryota; Viridiplantae; Streptophyta; Magnoliopsida; Lamiales; Lamiaceae
Description: long non-coding RNA (SMIL_LNC006832)
Source: RNAcentral
AAAAACACAAAUAAGAAAAAUAGUCAUGAGUUUUGUAGAGUGGUACAAUCUUUCUCUCAUUUGACUUCAACCGAUUUGUUCUGAUACCAAUUCGCCAGGUAACUGCUGAUUUCAACUUCAUUUUAUGGAUUUAAAUUUCUUGACUUCUGGAGUUAUUUGGUCAAUGCAGUAGUACUAAAAAUCGAUUUUGAUUUUAUAGGUCUGUUCUGAUUCUAAUUUGACUGCAGAUAUUGAAAAUCAUGUGAAGACUCCAAUUUUCUUCCACCGGGGAUAUGUUUUUCUUGCUUGGGAUUGCAUAUUAUGUAUUGCAUUUCCUGAAAUGAAAUUAUUUUCUUUUAUUACGGGACAAAAUUUUGACAUUUUCUUUCAAAUAAGGACUUUCAAAGAUGAUUUUGAAGUGGCCUUUCAGCUGCUUGAUACCUUCGAGAAUCUAAUUUCGUUCUUGUUGCAUUUAUGUGUUAUAGAAGUCAUCCUUGUUCGAGUUCUUUAUAUUAGUGAUUUUGAUGCCAAAUUGCUGAUAUAAUGCCUGAAAUGCUGCAUUCACCAGAAACCACGAGUUUGUGUAACAACAUUAAGGAGGCGUUUGCUUUUAAUGAUUGAUAAGAUACAUGGAGUAUUUUUAUCCUCAUUACUAAGAUUUCUUUAAUCCCAC